CAGUGACAGAGUGAGGGAGGGGGUGACUAGUGACAGAGUGAAGGAGGUGGUGACUGUCACUAGUCACCCCCUCCCCUCCCUCACUCUGUCACUAGUCACCCCCUCCCUCUCUCUGUCACU
Non-coding RNA from Pelobates cultripes (western spadefoot toad), 120 nucleotides. The record is from the annotation of a GenBank genome assembly. Lineage: Eukaryota; Metazoa; Chordata; Amphibia; Anura; Pelobatidae.